GAUGAACGCUGGCGGCGUGCCUAAUACAUGCAAGUCGAGCGAACAGACGAGGCGCUUGCUCCUUCGACGUUAGCGGCGGACGGGUGAGUAACACGUAGGUAACCUACCUAUAAGACUGGGAUAACUUCGGGAAACCGAAGCUAACACCGGAUAAUAUUUCGAACCGCAUGGUUCGAUAGUGAAAGAUGGCUUUGCUAUCCCUUAUAGAUGGACCUAGGCCGGAUUAGCUAGUUGGUAAGGUAACGGCUUACCAAGGCAACGAUCCGUAGCCGACCUGAGAGGGUGAUCGGCCACACUGGAACUGAGACACGGUCCAGACUCCUACGGGAGGCAGCAGUAGGGAAUCUUCCGCAAUGGGCGAAAGCCUGACGGAGCAACGCCGCGUGAGUGAUGAAGGUCUUCGGAUCGUAAAACUCUGUUAUUAGGGAAGAACAAACGUGUAAGUAACUGUGCACGUCUUGACGGUACCUAAACAGAAAGCCACGGCUAACUACGUG
This 497-nucleotide ribosomal RNA is filed under the name uncultured bacterium. RNAcentral describes it as "partial 16S ribosomal RNA". It matches the Rfam family "Bacterial small subunit ribosomal RNA", at positions 28 to 507 of the family's 1533-position model. The record is from RNAcentral.